This 549-nucleotide ribosomal RNA is filed under the name uncultured bacterium. RNAcentral describes it as "bacterial SSU rRNA". It matches the Rfam family "Bacterial small subunit ribosomal RNA", at positions 777 to 1325 of the family's 1533-position model. The record is from RNAcentral.
AAUAGAUACCCUGGUAGUCCACGCCGUAAACGAUGAGAACUAGAUGUUAGGGGGCUUAGACCUUUUAGUAUCGCAGCAAACGCGUUAAGUUCUCCGCCUGGGGAGUACGGCCGCAAGGUUAAAACUCAAAUGAAUUGACGGGGGCCCGCACAAGCGGUGGAGCAUGUGGUUUAAUUCGAUGCAACGCGAAGAACCUUACCUACCUUUGAAUCCACGGAAUCUUGCAGAAAUGUGAGAGUGCCUUCGGGAACCGUGAGACAGGUGCUGCAUGGCUGUCGUCAGCUCGUGUCGUGAGAUGUUGGGUUAAGUCCCGUAACGAGCGCAACCCUUGUCCUUAGUUACCAGCGAGUUAUGUCGGGGACUUUAAGGAGACUGCCGGUGAUAAACCGGAGGAAGGUGGGGAUGACGUCAAGUCCUCAUGGCCCUUACAGGUAGGGCCACACACGUGCUACAAUGGCCGGUACAAAGGGUUGCCAACCCGCGAGGGGGAGCUAAUCUCAAAAAGCCGGUCGUAGUCCGGAUUGGAGUCUGCAACUCGACUCCAUGAAG